This 450-nucleotide ribosomal RNA is filed under the name uncultured bacterium. RNAcentral's name for it is "bacterial SSU rRNA". It matches the Rfam family "Bacterial small subunit ribosomal RNA", at positions 354 to 796 of the family's 1533-position model. The record is from RNAcentral.
GUAGGGAAUCUUCCGCAAUGGACGCAAGUCUGACGGAGCAACGCCGCGUGUGUGAAGAAGGUUUUCGGAUCGUAAAGCACUGUUAUUAGAGAAGAACAGCCGAUAGAGUAACUGUUAUCGGUUUGACGGUAUCUAACCAGAAAGUGACGGCUAACUACGUGCCAGCAGCCGCGGUAAUACGUAGGUCACAAGCGUUGUCCGGAUUUAUUGGGCGUAAAGGGAGCGCAGGCGGUUUGUUAAGUCUGAUGUGAAAGCCCACGGCUCAACCGUGGAACGGCAUUGGAAACUGGCAAACUUGAGUAUAGAAGAGGAAAGUGGAAUUCCAUGUGUAGCGGUGAAAUGCGUAGAUAUAUGGAGGAACACCAGUGGCGAAGGCGACUUUCUGGUCUAUAACUGACGCUGAGGCUCGAAAGCGUGGGGAGCGAACAGGAUUAGAUACCCGGGUAGUCC